This 287-nucleotide small nuclear RNA is filed under the name Heterocephalus glaber (naked mole-rat). RNAcentral's name for it is "7SK RNA". It matches the Rfam family "7SK RNA". Rfam says of the family: 7SK was discovered as an abundant small nuclear RNA in the mid-70s but a possible function has only recently been suggested. Two independent studies have found that 7SK RNA binds the CDK9/cyclin T complex (known as elongation factor P-TEFb). The record is from Rfam by way of RNAcentral. Lineage: Eukaryota; Metazoa; Chordata; Mammalia; Rodentia; Bathyergidae.
ACAACUGAGGGUGGUCUGGCUGUGACAUCUGUCGCCCCACUGAUGGCCAGGGUUGAUCUGGCUGAUCUGGCUGGCCAGGUGGGGUCCCCUUCCUCCCUCAGUGCUCCACAUGCGCCCCUCCCGAAGCUGUGCACUCGGUGGAAGACAACCGUUUCCUCGGUCAAGGGUAUACGAGGACCUUUGGUCCCCUGCUAGAACCUCCAAACAAGCUCUCAGCCAACCGGGGACACCCAAGCCCAGCACAGCUGCAGGCCCAGCCUAAACAGAAACUUGGCUCAUCCCUUUUG